AGUGAUCGCUGGCGGUAGGCCUAACACAUGCAAGUCGAACGGCAGCACAGUAAGAGCUUGCUCUUACGGGUGGCGAGUGGCGGACGGGUGAGGAAUACAUCGGAAUCUACUUUUUCGUGGGGGAUAACGUAGGGAAGCUUACGCUAAUACCGCAUACGACCUACGGGUGAAAGCAGGGGAUCUUCGGACCUUGCGCGAUUGAAUGAGCCGAUGUCGGAUUAGCUAGUUGGCGGGGUAAAGGCCCACCAAGGCGACGAUCCGUAGCUGGUCUGAGAGGAUGAUCAGCCACACUGGAACUGAGACACGGUCCAGACUCCUACGGGAGGCAGCAGUGGGGAAUAUUGGACAAUGGGCGCAAGCCUGAUCCAGCCAUACCGCGUGGGUGAAGAAGGCCUUCGGGUUGUAAAGCCCUUUUGUUGGGAAAGAAAAGCAGCAGGUUAAUACCCCGCUGUUCUGACGGUACCCAAAGAAUAAGCACCGGCUAACUUCGUG
Molecule: ribosomal RNA, 492 nt
Filed under: uncultured bacterium
Lineage: Bacteria
Description: partial 16S ribosomal RNA
Rfam family: Bacterial small subunit ribosomal RNA
Source: RNAcentral